RNAcentral lists this ribosomal RNA (793 nucleotides) under uncultured bacterium. Its description in RNAcentral is "bacterial SSU rRNA". It matches the Rfam family "Bacterial small subunit ribosomal RNA", at positions 329 to 1113 of the family's 1533-position model. The record is from RNAcentral.
GCCCUUACUCCUACGGGAGGCAGCAGUAGGGAAUCUUCCACAAUGGACGAAAGUCUGAUGGAGCAACGCCGCGUGAGCGAAGAAGGUUUUCGGAUCGUAAAGCUCUGUUGCUGGAGAAGAACGAGUGCGAGAGGAAAUGCUCGUACUGUGACGGUAUCCAGCCAGAAAGCCACGGCUAACUACGUGCCAGCAGCCGCGGUAAUACGUAGGUGGCAAGCGUUGUCCGGAAUUAUUGGGCGUAAAGCGCGCGCAGGCGGCUUCUUAAGUCUGAUGUGAAAUCUUGCGGCUCAACCGCAAACGGUCAUUGGAAACUGGGAAGCUUGAGUGCAGAAGAGGAGAGUAGAAUUCCACGUGUAGCGGUGAAAUGCGUAGAUAUGUGGAGGAAUACCAGUGGCGAAGGCGGCUCUCUGGUCUGUAACUGACGCUGAGGCGCGAAAGCGUGGGGAGCAAACAGGAUUAGAUACCCUGGUAGUCCACGCCGUAAACGAUGAAUGCUAGGUGUUAGGGGGUCCAACCCUUAGUGCUGAAGUUAACACAUUAAGCAUUCCGCCUGGGGAGUACGACCGCAAGGUUGAAACUCAAAGGAAUUGACGGGGGCCCGCACAAGCAGUGGAGCAUGUGGUUUAAUUCGAAGCAACGCGAAGAACCUUACCAGGUCUUGACAUCCUCUGACAAGCCUAGAGAUAGGCCGUUCCCCUUCGGGGGACAGAGUGACAGGUGGUGCAUGGGUGUCGUCAGCUCGUGUCGUGAGAUGUUGGGUUAAGUCCCGCAACGAGCGCAACCCUUGAUCUUA